CCCAGUUCGGACUGGAGUCUGCAACCCGACUCCACGAAGUUGGAUUCGCUAGCAAUCGCGCAUCAGCCAUGGCGCGGUGAAUACGUUCCCGGGCCUUGUACACACCGCCCGUCAAGCCAUGGGAGCCGGGGGCGCCUGAAGUCCGGGACCGCGAGGACCGGCCUAGGGCGAAACUGGUAACUGGGGCUAAGUCGUAACAAGGUAUC
Molecule: ribosomal RNA, 206 nt
Filed under: uncultured bacterium
Lineage: Bacteria
Description: partial 16S ribosomal RNA
Rfam family: Bacterial small subunit ribosomal RNA
Source: RNAcentral